GGAUUUAUUUAUUUAUUCUUACAAUUAAAGAAGAAAUUAGCAGCAGGUUGUUGGUUGUCGGCAUUCUAUUACUUACUAAAGAAAGGAUUCUUAUAGGACUCUUACAUUGAAUUCCUAUACCUAAUCUUUUGGUAUUACUCCUACCUCUAGUAAGAAUGCUUGCUAGCUGAAUUGCGGUUGUCUUUUCAACUUCAUUAGGAUGAAUUAAAUUCUAGGAGUUGUCGGACUUAAAGAAAGGAACACUUUUUAUAAGUGUUGCAAAUGUUUUUGUAGUACAGUAUCUCUGGUAAGUACGCAUGCUCAGAGAAGAAGUUAGGAAUUUGAGCUACUAAUUUGAGUAUAUGUUAUGCUGCAUUGUGCAAAUAAUAGAUUCUGUGGCCUCUUAAUUAAAGUUUGCAUUGUGUAUGAGAACGCCAGAAUGUUAAGCAGAAUUAGAAGUUUAUGCUACAAUCAUUCUGAUAUGUUGACCAUCAAGUGAUACAUUAAAAUGAAGGUAGUUAAGAAUAUAGGUUAGACGAUAGGGAGUGAUGCAUAACUAUAAAGUUUCCUUAGCCUUGGCCGUCAUUUUAGGAAUGAGUACAGUUCAAAUCACCAUUUGAUGAAAGUGACUAAUAAAAUAGGCGCAUUGCAAAGUCCUUUUUCUUCACUCUAACUGUUAAGUAAGCCCUUAUAGAUUUUGGUUGAGUUAUUUUCUUUCCACAACAAAAAAAGAAAAAAAAGAAAAAAACGAAAAAAGUAAACCCUUAUAGAUUUAUUGAUUUUGAAUGUAGGUAUGUAUCUUAUGAGUAGAAUGUGAAAUAUCUUGGACUAGAGAAAGACUUGUUAGAUAUGUUUCAAGGAAUUGCUACUAUUGACAGUAAUGUGUAAUCCAACUCCACUCAAGGCUUCACAAUUGGAAAUAAAUUCAAGGCUGCAUUUACUGCCUAACAAAUUUUUGUGCAGUUGAUCACCUCCGGAUGUUGGAUUAGUUGGUGGAGGCUUGAUCUUUGGAUUUUGGCUUUUGUGGAAUAUGGGUUGUGGCAUUACCAAUAUUACAAAGUGACCACUACACUACAGCCACUUUAUUCAGUUGACUUGUAAUUUAAAUUUUUUGUUUAUUGAGUUAAGUGUACCAAGAAGAAUGUAACAUAUGUACAUAGGUUAUUUAGUUUCUGUAACCCUUAUUAAAUUAGUUCUCUUGCUUGUGCUCCCUUGCUUUUAUUUUGAUUAAUGAUGACAGUGCUUCAAUUCUGACAUAUAUUUAUUCUUUGCUUA
Prunus avium (sweet cherry) is the source of this 1254-nucleotide non-coding RNA. The record is from RefSeq and is a predicted model, not a curated record. NCBI's taxonomy places the organism in Eukaryota, Viridiplantae, Streptophyta, Magnoliopsida, Rosales, Rosaceae.